ACGGGAGGCAGCAGUGGGGGAUAUUGCACAAUGGGGGAAACCCUGAUGCAGCGACGCCGCGUGAGUGAUGAAGUAUUUCGGUAUGUAAAGCUCUAUCAGCAGGGAAGAAAAUGACAGUACCUGACUAAGAAGCCCCGGCUAACUACGUGCCAGCAGCCGCGGUAAUACGUAGGGGGCAAGCGUUAUCCGGAUUUACUGGGUGUAAAGGGAGCGCAGGUGGCAUGGCAAGCCAGAAGUGAAAACCCGGGGCUUAACCCCGUGGACUGCUUUUGGAACUGUCAGGCUAGAGUGCAGGAGGGGCAGGCGGAAUUCCUAGUGUAGCGGUGAAAUGCGUAGAUAUUAGGAGGAACACCGGUGGCGAAGGCGGCCUGCUGGACUGUAACUGACACUGAGGCUCGAAAGCGUGGGGAGCAAACAGGAUUAGAUACCCUGGUA
Molecule: ribosomal RNA, 435 nt
Filed under: uncultured Clostridium sp.
Lineage: Bacteria; Bacillati; Bacillota; Clostridia; Eubacteriales; Clostridiaceae
Description: partial 16S ribosomal RNA
Rfam family: Bacterial small subunit ribosomal RNA
Source: RNAcentral